GUGAGGAAUAUUGGUCAAUGGGCGAGAGCCUGAACCAGCCAAGUCGCGUGAAGGAUGAAGGUUUUAUGAAUUGUAAACUUCUUUUGCAGGGGAAUAAAGUACGGUACGUGUACCGUUUUGUAUGUACUCUGCGAAUAAGGAUCGGCUAACUCCGUGCCAGCAGCCGCGGUAAUACGGAGGAUCCAAGCGUUAUCCGGAUUUAUUGGGUUUAAAGGGUGCGCAGGCGGGUGGAUAAGUCAGCGGUGAAAGUUUGCAGCUUAACUGUAAAAUUGCCGUUGAAACUGUCGAUCUUGAGUGCAAAUGAGGUAAGCGGAAUUUGUUGUGUAGCGGUGAAAUGCUUAAAUAUAACACAGAACACCGAUUGAGAAGGCAGCUUACUGGGCUGCAACUGACGCUCAUGCACGAAAGCGUGGGGAUCAAACAGGAUUAGAAACCCGGGUAGUCC
RNAcentral lists this ribosomal RNA (445 nucleotides) under uncultured bacterium. Its description in RNAcentral is "partial 16S ribosomal RNA". It matches the Rfam family "Bacterial small subunit ribosomal RNA", at positions 354 to 796 of the family's 1533-position model. The record is from RNAcentral.